Non-coding RNA from Acanthosepion pharaonis, 93 nucleotides. The record is from the annotation of a GenBank genome assembly. Lineage: Eukaryota; Metazoa; Mollusca; Cephalopoda; Sepiida; Sepiidae.
UAUGGCCAUAUCAUGUUGAAACACCAGUUCUCAUAUGGUCUCCGAAGUUAAGCAACGUUGAGCCUGGUCAAUAUCUAGAUGGGUGGCCACCAG